AGGAUAAUAGUUAAAAAUAACACUUGAUUUGCAUUCAAAAAUUAUUAAUUUCAUAAAUUAAUUUAUCUUA
RNAcentral lists this transfer RNA (70 nucleotides) under Siobla xizangensis. RNAcentral's name for it is "tRNA-Ala". Lineage: Eukaryota; Metazoa; Arthropoda; Insecta; Hymenoptera; Tenthredinidae. The record is from RNAcentral.